Molecule: ribosomal RNA, 492 nt
Filed under: uncultured bacterium
Lineage: Bacteria
Description: partial 16S ribosomal RNA
Rfam family: Bacterial small subunit ribosomal RNA
Source: RNAcentral
AUUGAACGCUGGCGGUAGGCCUAACACAUGCAAGUCGAACGGCAGCACAGUAAGAGCUUGCUCUUACGGGUGGCGAGUGGCGGACGGGUGAGGAAUACAUCGGAAUCUACUUUUUCGUGGGGGAUAACGUAGGGAAACUUACGCUAAUACCGCAUACUACCUACGGGUGAAAGUAGGGGAUCUUCGGACCUUGCGCGAUUGAAUGAGCCGAUGUUGGAUUAGCUAGUUGGCGGGGUAAAGGCCCACCAAGGCGACGAUCCGUAGCUGGUCUGAGAGGAUGAUCAGCCACACUGGAACUGAGACACGGUCCAGACUCCUACGGGAGGCAGCAGUGGGGAAUAUUGGACAAUGGGCGCAAGCCUGAUCCAGCCAUACCGCGUGGGUGAAGAAGGCCUUCGGGUUGUAAAGCCCUUUUGUUGGGAAAGAAAAGCAGCAGGUUAAUACCUCGCUGUUCUGACGUUACCCAAAGAAUAAGCACCGGCUAACUUCGUG